UAAUAUUUUGAACCGCAUGGUUCAAAAGUGAAAGACGGUCUUGCUGUCACUUAUAGAUGGAUCCGCGCUGCAUUAGCUAGUUGGUAAGGUAACGGCUUACCAAGGCAACGAUGCAUAGCCGACCUGAGAGGGUGAUCGGCCACACUGGAACUGAGACACGGUCCAGACUCCUACGGGAGGCAGCAGUAGGGAAUCUUCCGCAAUGGGCGAAAGCCUGACGGAGCAACGCCGCGUGAGUGAUGAAGGUCUUCGGAUCGUAAAACUCUGUUAUUAGGGAAGAACAUAUGUGUAAGUAACUGUGCACAUCUUGACGGUACCUAAUCAGAAAGCCACGGCUAACUACGUGCCAGCAGCCGCGGUAAUACGUAGGUGGCAAGCGUUAUCCGGAAUUAUUGGGCGUAAAGCGCGCGUAGGCGGUUUUUUAAGUCUGAUGUGAAAGCCCACGGCUCAACCGUGGAGGGUCAUUGGAAACUGGAAAACUUGAGUGCAGAAGAGGAAAGUGGAAUUCCAUGUGUAGCGGUGAAAUGCGCAGAGAUAUGGAGGAACACCAGUGGCGAAGGCGACUUUCUGGUCUGUAACUGACGCUGAUGUGCGAAAGCGUGGGGAUCAAACAGGAUUAGAUACCCUGGUAGUCCACGCCGUAAACGAUGAGUGCUAAGUGUUAGGGGGUUUCCGCCCCUUAGUGCUGCAGCUAACGCAUUAAGCACUCCGCCUGGGGAGUACGACCGCAAGGUUGAAACUCAAAGGAAUUGACGGGGACCCGCACAAGCGGUGGAGCAUGUGGUUUAAUUCGAAGCAACGCGAAGAACCUUACCAAAUCUUGACAUCCUUUGACAACUCUAGAGAUAGAGCCUUCCCCUUCGGGGGACAAAGUGACAGGUGGUGCAUGGUUGUCGUCAGCUCGUGUCGUGAGAUGUUGGGUUAAGUCCCGCAACGAGCGCAACCCUUAAGCUUAGUUGCCAUCAUUAAGUUGGGCACUCUAAGUUGACUGCCGGUGACAAACCGGAGGAAGGUGGGGAUGACGUCAAAUCAUCAUGCCCCUUAUGAUUUGGGCUACACACGUGCUACAAUGGACAAUACAAAGGGCAGCGAAACCGCGAGGUCAAGCAAAUCCCAUAAAGUUGUUCUCAGUUCGGAUUGUAGUCUGCAACUCGACUACAUGAAGCUGGAAUCGCUAGUAAUCGUAGAUCAGCAUGCUACGGUGAAUACGUUCCCGGGUCUUGUACACACCGCCCGUCACACCACGAGAGUUUGUAACACCCGAAGCCGGUGGAGUAACCUUUUAGGAGCUAGCCGUCGAAGGUGGGACAAAUGAUUGGGGUGAAGUCGUAACAAGGUAGCCGUAUCGGAAGGUGCGGCUGGAUCACCUCCUUUCUAAG
Molecule: ribosomal RNA, 1379 nt
Filed under: Staphylococcus aureus
Lineage: Bacteria; Bacillati; Bacillota; Bacilli; Caryophanales; Staphylococcaceae
Description: bacterial SSU rRNA
Rfam family: Bacterial small subunit ribosomal RNA
Source: RNAcentral